Molecule: signal recognition particle RNA, 299 nt
Filed under: Hyaloperonospora arabidopsidis Emoy2
Lineage: Eukaryota; Oomycota; Peronosporomycetes; Peronosporales; Peronosporaceae
Description: Metazoan signal recognition particle RNA
Rfam family: Metazoan signal recognition particle RNA
About the family: The signal recognition particle (SRP) is a universally conserved ribonucleoprotein.
Source: Rfam by way of RNAcentral
GCCGGCUUGGGUGGCGCCAACUUGUAACGGAACGCUUCUGUCCGGGUAGUGAGGUACGAGGGCUGUGACACGUGUGGUGGCGACACUAUCCACAGGGUGUAGAAGGCGCGCCCGUCUCAAACCAGGUUCGACAUUGUGGUGAGCUCGUAAGGGUUCACACCAAGGUCACUAAGGAACGGUGCACCGCCCCAGACUGGAUAACAGAGCAGGGAAAAACCUUCGCUCCUGGUAGUGGGAGGAUCACGUGCCAGAAUCCUGAUGUGGCGUCACCGCUCUACAGGUCGCAACACGAAUACCUU